UUUUACCACCUCCAUUCCCUCAUGUAUAAAUCCCAAAAUUCACAUUUUUGCUAUUUCCAUUCCCCUCAGGUGCAAUCCCAAAAUUCUCAUUUUUACCACCUCCAUCCCCCUCAUGUAUAAACCCCAAAAUCCACAUUCCCAGGCCCAUUUUUCACCAUUUUGGGGCCUUUUUUUGCCUCCAUUCCCCUCAUGUAUAAACCCCAAAAUCCACAUUCCCAGGCCAUUUUUUCACCAUUUUUUCACCAUUUUUCACCAUUUUUUGGGGCGUUUUUGUGCCAAAUCUCCCCCAUAACCCUGCUCCCUCUGUGUUUCCCCAGUGCGUGUCCUGCAACAAAUCCUUCAAGAAGCUCUGGUCGCUGCACGAGCACAUCAAGAUCGUGCACGGCUACGCCGAGAAGAAAUUCUCCUGCGAGAUCUGCGAGAAGAAAUUCUACACCAUGGCCCACGUGCGCAAACACAUGGUUGGUGAGUGGCUGGGCACGGGGAAAUUNCGAGCGGCUUCUCCUGGGGUUCACCAGAAUUCCGUCACGACCUUUAAUCGCAGGCCGGUUCGGUGGAAGGGACGGAAGGGAGAAGCCCCGGAGGUGCCACGGGCACGGGGGAUGUGAGGAACGGGAGGUUUUGGCUGGCACAGGCAGGGCAUGAUGGCGAGAGGAGCUUUGGGAAGCACCUGGGCUCUGCCCAGCUGGAAGUUCUGUUCUGUUUCCCUCCCUUCUCCGCCUGAUCUGUGCUAAAAAAUGGAUUUUUGAGAUGGUUUUGUAAAGGCUGCGGGGCUGCCAGGCGUGAUUUUCAAAGGGCUUUGUGUCUGUGCUAUCUGAUAAUUUCCCUCGUGUUUAUCAGAUGUGAUAAUUUCCCUGGCUUGGGCGUUCUCGCUCUGGUUUUACCUCUCCACCUCCCUACCUGUGUGCCAGGUGCGUUUCCCUGCUGCUUUUGUGGCUUUGGGCAGGCAGUGCAGGAGUUCCAGAUGUGACCCCAAAAUCUGGGUAUGACUGCCCUGGAAUUCCAGGUGGUCCCAAAAUCUGGUCCCAAAAUCUGGGUACAGCUGCCCUGGAAUUCCAGAUGUGACCCCAAAAUCUGGGUAUGACUGCCCUGCAAUUGUGAUCCCAAAAUCUGGGUGCAGCUGCCCUGCAAUUCCAGAUGUGACCCCAAAAUCUGGGUACAGCUGCCCUGGAACUCCAGAUGUGAUCCCAAAAUCUGGGUGCAGCUGCCCUGCAAUUCCAGCUGUGAUCCCAAAAUCUGGGUGCAGCUGCCCUGCAAUUGUGACCCCAAAAUCUGGGUGCAGCUGCCCUGGAACUCCAGGUGUGAUCCCAAAAUCAAAAUCUGGGUGCAACUGCCCUGCAAUUGUGAUCCCAAAAUCUGGGUACAGCUGCCCUGAACCUCCAGAUGUGACCCCAAAAUCUGGGUACAGCUGCCCUGGAAUUGUGAUCCCAAAAUCUGGGUACAGCUGCCCUGGAAUUCCAGCUGUGACCCCAAAAUCUGGGUAUGACUGCCCUGCAAUUGUGAUCCCAAAAUCUGGGUACGACUGCCCUGCAAUUCCAGGUGUGACCCCAAAAUCUGGGUAUGACUGCCCUGGAAUUNCUGAGAAUGGAUUCUUUCCACUCCAAGGGUUUGGAUCCUUAUCUCACCAAGAGUUUGGAUCCUUAUCUCACCAAGGGUUUGGAUUCUCCCAUUCCAAAUGUUUGGAUCCUUAUCUCACCAAAGGUUUGGAUCCUUAUCUCUCCAAGGGUUUGGAUUCUCCCAUUCCAAAUGUUUGGAUCCUUAUCUCAACGAGGGUUUGGAUCCUUAUCUCACCAAGGGUUUGGAUCCUUAUCUCACCAAGAGUAUGGAUCCUUAUCUCACCAAGGGUUUGGAUCUUUAUCUCACCAAAGGUUUGGAUUCUCCCUCUCCAAAGGUUUGGAUUCUUAUCUCUCCAAGGGUUUGGAUCCUUCUCACUGAAAAUGUUUGGAUUCUCCCUCACCAAGGGUUUGGAUCCUUAUCUCACCAAGGGUUUGGAUUCUCCCACUCCAAAUGUUUGGAUUCUCCCUCUCCAAGGGUUUGGAUCCUUAUCUCACCAAAUGUUUGGAUCCUUAUCUCACCAAGGGUUUGGAUCCUUAUCUCACCAAGGAUUUGGAUCCUUGUCACUGAGAAUGUUUGGAUUCUCCCUCUCCAAGGGUUUGGAUCCUUAUCUCACCAUGGGUUUGGAUCCUUAUCUCACCAAGGGUUUGGAUUCUCCCACUCCAAGGGUUUGGAUCCUUAUCUCUCCAAGGGUUUGGAUCCUUAUCUCACCAAAUGUUUGGAUCCUUAUCUCUCCAAGGGUUUGGAUCCUUCUCACUGAGAAUGGAUUCUUUCCACUCCAAGGGAUUGGAUCCUUAUCUCACCAAGGGAUUGGAUCCUUAUCUCACCAAGGGUUUGGAUCCUUAUCUCACCAAGGGUUUGGAUUCUCCCACUCCAAAUGCUUGGAUUCUCCCUCUCCAAGGGUUUGGAUUCUUAUCUCAUCNGUUUCCGUGUCCUGAAAUGCAAUCCCACAGUGUGGAAGCCAGGUGAGCCUUCCAGGGGAAAACAGAAUUCCAGGAGUUCCCUGGGAUGGGCAAUCUGCAAAAUCAGGGUCUGAGCUGGGUUAAAUCGGGGUUUAAACCCCUCUGAGAAUUCCCAGAGCGUUCCUGAAGGGCUGCAAUCCACACCUGCACCCCCUUCCCGGCAGGAAACCCCGCUAAUCUGCCUGGAGACACAGAAAUCUCCAUUUUUUUUUCUCUCAAAAACCCUGAUUUUCCCCAGCUUUGGGAGCUGUGGGAAGAGCUCCAGAAUUCCUGCUCCCUCUGGGGCAGCUCCGUGCCCGGGAUCUGGGGCACUGCUGCCUUCCCUGGCACCCCAAAUCUGCUGUUUUUUGCCUUAUUUUCAUCCUCCUCCUCCUCCUGGAAUCCUGGCUCCCGUUGGAGUUUUGGGCAGCUGGAAUUUGUAGGGCAAGGAGGGUUUGUUGUGUGAGGGUUUGAGCACAAGAAUUGAACGUUUUUCAUUGUUUGUUUGCUUUCAGUGCUGGGCUGGGUUGAUGCUCAGCUCCCACUGUGUGGGAGAUGUGGAAUAUUUAUUGCAAUUUCUGUUUUCCCAGCUUUGGGUAACUCUGGGCUGUUUUGUUGUUUUUUUUUUUUUCCUUAAAUUUCAGCUCCAGGAAGGAUUUGUUAAUAUAAAUUUAAUUUUUGCAGCUUUUGAAAGAAAUAUUUUUAAAGUUCAGUGCAGAGCAGGGAGGAUUUAAAUGGGAAUUUAAGAUAUGCCCCAGCAAGCAGGGGGUUCAUUCACAGCAUAGAAUCUGAGCAGGAAUUAAAAAGUAAAGGAAUUAAAGCAGGAAUUAAAAUUUAAGCAGGAAUUCCUGAAUAUUUUGAACACGUAAAGUGGUGAAAUAUCCCGUGUCCAUCUACACAUGCAUCCAAAAGGGAUAAGAAAAGGAGAAAUUAUCGAAAUUAUGGUUUAAAUCCAAAGGAAUCUGGUUCAGAAACUUGCCAGUGCCAGCAGCACUGGGAGUCACCUCAAUCCCCAGGAAUAAAUCCAGCAGUUCUUGUCCUGUCCUGCCUUUG
Molecule: long non-coding RNA, 3548 nt
Filed under: Zonotrichia albicollis (white-throated sparrow)
Lineage: Eukaryota; Metazoa; Chordata; Aves; Passeriformes; Passerellidae
Description: lncRNA (ENSZALG00000001898.1)
Source: RNAcentral